AAGCGUACACGGUGGAUGCCCUGGCAGUCAGAGGCGAUGAAGGACGUGCUAAUCUGCGAUAAGCGUCGGUGAGGUGAUAUGAACCGUUAUAACCGGCGAUUUCCGAAUGGGGAAACCCAGUGUGUUUCGACACACUAUCAUUAACUGAAUCCAU
Molecule: ribosomal RNA, 154 nt
Filed under: Escherichia coli 83972
Lineage: Bacteria; Pseudomonadati; Pseudomonadota; Gammaproteobacteria; Enterobacterales; Enterobacteriaceae
Source: RNAcentral